Molecule: transfer RNA, 86 nt
Filed under: Stappia sp.
Lineage: Bacteria; Pseudomonadati; Pseudomonadota; Alphaproteobacteria; Hyphomicrobiales; Stappiaceae
Also listed under: 1 other name
Description: tRNA-Leu
Rfam family: tRNA
About the family: Transfer RNA (tRNA) molecules are approximately 80 nucleotides in length.
Source: RNAcentral
GCGGACGUGGUGGAAUCGGUAGACACAAGGGACUUAAAAUCCCUCGGCCUUGCGCCAUGCGGGUUCGAGUCCCGCCGUCCGUACCA